This is a long non-coding RNA of Gorilla gorilla gorilla (western lowland gorilla), 957 nucleotides long. RefSeq lists it as uncharacterized. The transcript is spliced from 3 exons. NCBI's taxonomy places the organism in Eukaryota, Metazoa, Chordata, Mammalia, Primates, Hominidae. The record is from RefSeq and is a predicted model, not a curated record.
GCCAGAGACACGGCGAGGCGGGCGGGACCCCUGAGCGGCCUGGGAGUUGUAGUUUCAGGAGGGAAGAGCUCGGCUGCACGUGGGCUCAGGUCGCCCCCUCGUGGACCUCUGCACAGCCAAGCGUGGAAAGGCCGGUGGGCCGCUUCCCGCCGCCAGCAAGAGGGGCAGCAGGGUCCGGCUCGCGCUCCAGGGCUGCGGGAGCUGGCCCCUUGCCAGGCUACUGGACUGGAAAUACCUGUCUGCAUUGGCGAGCUCCCAAAUCUUGCCCAGGCGCCUCCCACCGUGUGCAGCUGAGGAAGGCUGUGCUCUGAGCGUGGGGUUGCCAAGUCAGCUCCCAAGGCAGCUCUGGCACCAACGACCCAGAGAAACAGGCCCAGAGGGGAGAAACGACAGAUAUCCUGACACGGGAGAUUGAAAGGGAGGAAUGAAAUACAAGAUCACUUACUGGACCCAUGCAGGGUGCCAGACCCUGGACUAGAUGAUUUAUAACUCUUCUGUAACCUUCACAGAAACCCUGCGAACAGGCCUUGGGAAGAAAGGACCUGAGCUGCUCCAUAGCCCUGCACAAAGAAGAUGGUGUGACCUCAGAGAUGUCUGCUUGGCACCGUUAAGCACAGGUGAUCCUAAUCAGCAAAGUUUCUCAUUGUCUGUAGAUAAGCAGAGAAUUACUUGAUAUCAAAUGAACCCUGAAAGGUGGAACACAUGGACUUUUAGUAGUGACCACAUUUGAUGUGUUAACAUUGCUUGUACCAAUUAAGCACCACAUAACUAUCCCAUAUUCUAGAAUAGAAAGGGUGGCUUUAAUAAUCAAUAAUAUGGAUGUUGUUAAUCAGGCAUAUAUUAAAUUAUAUCUGAGUUAAAAAAGAAAAGAAAAGAUUGUCAUCCAGGGACUCUGUUGACCACAUGCCUGUAAGCAGCAGUCUUAUUACCAGAUCAGUAAAGAAGUGUGGUUUCUCA